Molecule: transfer RNA, 91 nt
Filed under: Metarhizium acridum
Lineage: Eukaryota; Fungi; Ascomycota; Sordariomycetes; Hypocreales; Clavicipitaceae
Description: tRNA-Pro
Rfam family: tRNA
About the family: Transfer RNA (tRNA) molecules are approximately 80 nucleotides in length. Their secondary structure includes four short double-helical elements and three loops (D, anti-codon, and T loops). Further hydrogen bonds mediate the characteristic L-shaped molecular structure. tRNAs have two regions of fundamental functional importance: the anti-codon, which is responsible for specific mRNA codon recognition, and the 3' end, to which the tRNAs corresponding amino acid is attached (by aminoacyl-tRNA synthetases). tRNAs cope with the degeneracy of the genetic code in two manners: having more than one tRNA (with a specific anti-codon) for a particular amino acid; and 'wobble' base-pairing, i.e. permitting non-standard base-pairing at the 3rd anti-codon position.
Source: RNAcentral
GGUCUGGUGGUCUAGUGGUAUGAUUCUCGCUUAGGGACAACCCUGAUGCACAGCUUGCGAGAGGUCCCGGGUUCAAUCCCCGGCCAGACCC